GACGAACGCUGGCGGCGUGCCUAAUACAUGCAAGUCGAACGCAUUUUCUUUCACCGUAGCUUGCUACACCGAAAGAAAAUGAGUGGCGAACGGGUGAGUAACACGUGGGUAACCUGCCCAUCAGCGGGGGAUAACACUUGGAAACAGGUGCUAAUACCGCAUAAUUCCAUUUACUGCAUGGUAGAUGGAUGAAAGGCGCUUUUGCGUCACUGAUGGAUGGACCCGCGGUGCAUUAGCUAGUUGGUGGGGUAACGGCCUACCAAGGCUGCGAUGCAUAGCCGACCUGAGAGGGUGAUCGGCCACACUGGGACUGAGACACGGCCCAGACUCCUACGGGAGGCAGCAGUAGGGAAUCUUCGGCAAUGGACGCAAGUCCGACCGAGCAACGCCGCGUGAGUGAAGAAGGUUUUCGGAUCGUAAAACUCUGUUGUUAGAAAAGAACAAGGAUGAGAGUGGAAAGUUCAUCCCUUGACGGUAUCUAACCAGAAAGCCCCGGCUAACUACGUG
Molecule: ribosomal RNA, 507 nt
Filed under: uncultured bacterium
Lineage: Bacteria
Description: partial 16S ribosomal RNA
Rfam family: Bacterial small subunit ribosomal RNA
Source: RNAcentral